This 523-nucleotide ribosomal RNA is filed under the name uncultured bacterium. RNAcentral describes it as "bacterial SSU rRNA". It matches the Rfam family "Bacterial small subunit ribosomal RNA", at positions 9 to 526 of the family's 1533-position model. The record is from RNAcentral.
GAGUUUGAUCCUGGCUCAGAGUGAACGCUGGCGGCAGGCCUAACACAUGCAAGUCGAGCGGCAGCACGGGUAGCAAUACCUGGUGGCGAGCGGCGGACGGGUGAGGAAUACAUCGGAAUCUGCCUUGUCGUGGGGGAUAACGUAGGGAAACUUACGCUAAUACCGCAUACGACCGAGAGGUGAAAGCGGGGGAUCGCAAGACCUCGCGCGACAAGAUGAGCCGAUGUCGGAUUAGCUAGUUGGCGGGGUAAGAGCCCACCAAGGCGACGAUCCGUAGCUGGUCUGAGAGGAUGAUCAGCCACACUGGAGCUGAGACACGGUCCAGACUCCUACGGGAGGCAGCAGUGGGGAAUAUUGGACAAUGGGCGCAAGCCUGAUCCAGCCAUGCCGCGUGGGUGAAGAAGGCCUUCGGGUUGUAAAGCCCUUUUGUUGGGGACGAAAUCGUACGGGUGAAUAUCCCGUGCGGAUGACGGUACCCAAAGAAUAAGCACCGGCUAACUUCGUGCCAGCAGCCGCGUAAUUC